GGGCGCUUAGCUCAGUUGGUUAGAGCGCCUGCCUUACAAGCAGGAGGUCCACAGUUCGAGCCUGUGAGCGCCCACCA
RNAcentral lists this transfer RNA (77 nucleotides) under Candidatus Angelobacter sp. Gp1-AA117. RNAcentral describes it as "Acidobacteriia bacterium AA117 tRNA-Val". It matches the Rfam family "tRNA". Rfam says of the family: Transfer RNA (tRNA) molecules are approximately 80 nucleotides in length. The record is from RNAcentral. Lineage: Bacteria; Pseudomonadati; Acidobacteriota; Terriglobia. RNAcentral also lists the same sequence under 1 other name.